AAUUUUUUUUUUUUAUAAAACUCAGCUUUUCACUUUAAUAAAAAGGGAGUCUCACCAAUCAAGUGGGAACGCGUCGUGAAAAUUGUGGGUCCACACUUAGCUGGGGAUGAACUUGAAUCAUCAAGUGCAAAGAGUCAAUAACAAUUACAGUAGCAGGCAAAAAGAGGAUCAUCGGUUGCUGACCCUCUACUAUCUUUGACUUUAUCAGAUGAGGAAAGUCAUACAACCAAUGCUAGCUUUUUGCUAACAAUGGAGGAACGUAUCAACAUAGAAGCCUUCCUCCACCAAAAUGCAGAUAUCUUUGUCUAAAGUCACUUAGAUAUGUUAGGAAUUGACCCAUAUGUGUUUGCUCAUAAAUUGAAUAUUCUCCCCAACAUGUAUCUGGUAAGGCAAAAAGUCUGAAGCUUCUACUCGGAACGCCAAAAAAUAAUACAAACGAAAGUUGAUAAGCUGUUGGCCAUUGAAUUUAUCCGGGAAGUUGCCUAUCCAGAUUGGUUGGCCAACGUCAUCGUAGUUCCAAAAAUUGGAGGAACCUAGCGAGUGUGUGUGGACUAUACGAACUUAAAUGACAUUUGCUCGAGGGAUAGCUUCUCUUUGCCUUAGAUCUAUUAGAUUGUUGAUUCCAUGUCUGUAAAUGGAAUGCUUUCCUUUCUAGACACUUUCUCCAGUUACCAUCAAAUCCUUAUGUUCCAUCAUAAUCAAGAAAAAAAUAGUCUUUAUCACACUUUAUGGAUUGUAUUGCUAUAACAUCAUUCCUUUUGGGUUAAAAAAUGCAGGUGCAAUGUAUUAAAGGCUGAUGACAAAAAUCUUCAAACCUUUGAUGGGACGAACAGUGGAGGUAUACAUUGACGACUAUGUCAUUAGAAGUAAAACUUGUACAAAACACAUGCAACACUUGGAAUAAGCAUUUGCCCUAAUGCGGAAGUACAAUAUAAAACUUAACCCGCUUAAGUGUGCAUUUGGCAUCAGCAUCAGCAAAUUUAUUUGCUUUUUGGUGACUCAACGAGGAAUUGAAAUGAACUCGAACCAAGUGAAGGUCGUGCUUGAGACACUUGUUAUGUUCACUAAGAAGGAAAUGCAUUCUAACUAGUCAUUUUAUAGCCUUGAGCCAAUUUAUAGCCCAAUUCACUUAUAAGCUCCGUUUGUUCUUCAUUACUCUACAUGAAGCCCAAAAGUUUGGUUGGAUAGAGGAAUGCAAUAGUGCUUAUGAUGCAAUUUAGCAAUGCCUUACAGAAAGGAGAGGAACUAUACAUGUAUUUUGCUAUCUCAUACUAUGUAGUCAAUGUCAUCCUAAUAUGACAAGCCCAAGAGGACGGGCAAAAACCUGCCUACUACGUGAGUAAGGCAAUGGUAGACCCUGAGACCUGGUACUCUCAAGUAGAGCAUAUGGCACUAACAUUGCGUGUUGUUGCUAAAAAGCUCCAUUUGUAUUUCCAGGCAUAUCAAGUGACCAUCUUGACAAAUCAACCAUUGAAGGUCACCUUGCACAAGCUAGAUCUAUCUGGACAAAUGAUGAAAUGGGCUAUUAAGUUGAACAAAUAUGACAUACAAUACAAAUCAUGCUUGUCAUUUAAAUACUAGGUCAUCAUAGACUUUAUAGUCGAGUUAUCCCAAAAACGGGUGCAGAUUGACACUAUCAACUAUUGGUGGAUCUUGCAUAUAGACGAAGCAUCAGGAGUUGGAUUAGGGCUCAUAUUACUCUCUCAUACUAGGGAGAUGAUUAAGUAGUUCGCCCGCCUCAAUUUUCCCGUAUCUAAUAAUGAGGUUGAAUACGAGGCAAUUAUAGUUAGCCUCGAUCUUGCCUUGACACUUGCAGCAUCGAAGGUAGAAAUACAAAGUGACUCCCAAUUAGUGGUCGAGCAAAUCCAGCGAGAGUAUGAGGCCAUGAAUGAACGUAUGGCCCACUACCUCAGUAGAGUGGAAUCCCAUUUAGCUAAGUUGUCUGAUUGGAUAGUCAAACGUAUUCCUUGUAAAGAGAACGGAAAAACAGAUGCAUUUUCCGGAGUUGCCACUGUCCUACCCAUCAUUGAAUCUAUCAUGUUGUUAGUUUAUGUCCAACUCAUGCCUUCUAUUACUUCAAAACGGGUCCAUGAUGUGGCUCAUGUAGGUGUAGUAUGGAUGCACCCUAUUUUCAAUUAUCUCCACAGUGGUGAAGUUUUAGAGGACUGCAAACAAGCAUAUAAGCUUUGUAUUCAAGGUACUCGAUUUACUUUGAUCAAUGAUAAAUUGUAUAGAAGAGUCUUUGAGAACACAACCAAAAUAGGAGCUGGUAAGCGCCAGUCCCAUUAGGAAGGGCCUUAUGUUGUACACAAAAUGGGAGGAGUAGGAGCGUACCAUCUACAGACAUUAGACAAAACGCCACUACUCCGUCCUUGGAAUGUAGCAAAUUUGAAGAAAUACUAUCAAUAAGCAAGUUGUGCAUAAAUCAUGUUUGUACUUGAUUUUUGUGCGGCUAAACAAGCCAGAUUGCAAACAACUAAUAAGUCAGAUUGUAAAUGACAUGACCAGUAUGACCUGAGCCACAAAUUUAAAGAACAUCAAGGCAUAGCCUAAGCAGCACAAGCCUUAAAGCUCCCAUGGGAGAAAUGACAAAAGGCCUAAGAUACUUAAUGUUACUCAAGGCCGAAUGAAUAACUUGAGUCUAGCAAUGAAUAUGAUGGUGUAAUACACAGGCAAAUUUCACAAAACAUGAAAACCAAAUCAUGGAAACUCAUUGAAAAUUGUGUUCAUUUGUAUCACCAAAAAAGGGAAAGGCUAAAAGGCCAAUGUUUAUAUAAUUAAAAUACCUAAGUGGCCAAAAGAAGGGAAUAUAAAAGUGGCUUCAUCUUAAUAUUCACGGUCGAUUGCUGUAGAUCCAUUUCUCGCUCCUAAUCCGUCUUCUUGCCCUGCACCAACAUCCAACUUAGCUUUGUUUCCGUCGUUUGAUGGAAUGUUGGGUAUAUUAUCAGUAAUGUCAUGUUUCUUCAUACAACAUUGGGUAGUCGUAAAAGAACAUAUCAUCCACUUACUGUUGAUAUGCCACCUCCAACUCUUUCUUCUCCUUAGCAAAAUCGGACAUGGUUUACUUGAGUUCCUGCUUUAGUCGGGCAUUUUCUUCUUUAGCUUUGGUGCUAGAUGAUUCAGUAGUGGUCAUAUCCAAUUUCAGUUGGUGGAUCUCGGCCUAAAGCAUAUCAUUCUUCAUCUCAGCAUUCCUUAGUAAACCCACACCCUAAAUUGUCGUCUUCCAUGCAACGGCUUUAGCAGCUGGUAUAGUAUGUGCAUUAGGCAUAGAGUUGUCACCAGAUAUGGUGACCAUCUCUCCUAGCCCGUAGAAAGGAAUGUUUUCCGUGUCCUAUGCCUUAAGAGCAGGUGGAAACGAAGGAAUCAAUAUCGGUGAAGCAUUGGCAGCAAGCCUGGAGGACGAACCCUUUUUGCACGUUCUUUGUUUCUUUGACGAAGGCUCGAUUUCAAUGGCCUCGCCCAACCAUUUCUAUUGUCGCUUAUGGAAUCCAACUCAUAGAUUGGCAGUCAUUUCUUCAUUUUCCGCUUCUUCGACUAUAAGUGGCACAACUAGCUCGGUAGUUCACACCACUCAGUCUACUCUGCUCCGAAUGUUUUGUUCGGCUUGAUCACGGUCUCCUGAACUUGAGGCCAAACAAUAAUCUUUUUCUUUCCUGGUCGGGGAUAGGAUUUGAAGCCACUCGGGAAGUGGAACCAGGGGCUUGGCGUAAAGUCUCCUUUUGGCGUUUUUUCUCCCGAGUGUCUAAAUGAGCUUGUUUCGCCUCGUUGUCAGCAAGAUGGGAAACCUCGUAGAAAGGCAAGUCCUUCAUCACGAAGUGCUCGCCUAACACAAGGGUUGGUGGUGCUAGUCGUAAAAGAAAAGUGAUUACAAACGGCUUUGCUUAAGCAAAUACGAUCCUUAUGUUUUUUUCGGCAAGCAACACACCAUGACUCUAUUCAGACUAGUCAAUCUCAAAUAGUUUUUUAAGGCAGGUGAAUGACGACUUCUCUACCCACUCAACCAAGUGGCCCCGUCUUUAUUUGCUUGCACGGAUAGAGAACAUAUUAAUGAAGUCACAAUAAAGUGAAAGUAAGUAAUAGAUAAGUCCUAUGUGAGCUGUGAAAACAUUCAAUACUUGGAAUUUCUAGAGAACGUGUGGACUUAAAUAACUGUAGACCCUCAAUUUUGUCCUCCUAGCACAUGUUUUAUUAGAUACUUGUUCGAUAAUUUAUAGUUAGCUCCUUGGUGGCCCAUAUCUACUCAUACUACUUACCUUUUUUGAACCACCUUAGAGACUCUAGUUGAAGGAUUGCCUAACCCCUUAUUAUGACCUUGGCAGCCCUAAUUUAGACUUAGGCACUUUCCUGAACGCCUUAGGCCUAUUUAAGCAUUUUUUAAACCCGCUUUUUAUAUGACUUGCAUGAUUGCAUGGCUUAAAUGACUUGUGUGGCUUAUAUGGAUUUCUUUAUUAUUUUUCUUUUAUUUUAUUUUAUUUUAUCUUAUCACAAGUUUUCUAAAUCAUAUUUCUUGGCUUUUUGGGCAUGAGGAAACGGGCCGCCAUCUAUUUGGAAGGAGAAUCAACAGAAUUUUGAAAAAGAUGAUAUUUUGUUUUUAGAAGGAUAGCACAUAUAUUAUUUCCAUGGGAGAAUCGGUUAUAAAAGGGUAGAAAAUAAGAAAGGAAAGAGAUUUCCUUUUUUUGGAUCAGAGAAUUUUUAUUUUUGGAGGAGAGAGAUCUAAGACAAAGGAGGACUUUUUUCUUUGGCAGGAAGAUUUUUUUUCUUUUGGAGCAAAAAUUCACAUACAAAAGGCAAUAUUUUUUAAAGGAGAGGGACACACGCAAUUUCUUUUGGGGGAGCGGUAGAAGACCUGAAAGACUAAUUGGGCUGCCAUUUUGAAACAUCAAGAGAGUAUUUUUCCGAUACAAUACAGGUUAGUUUUCGAUUUUUGAUACCGUAUUUCUUUUUUUCUUUUUGGGUUUUAGUUGUUUGGUUUAAUUAAUUGUUUGUGAUAAAUUCUUUUAAAUCUCGAUUUCGAACAAUCUUUUAUUUUUCUUAGAUUAAAUGUCUCUCUUUUAUGAUUGCAAUUCAUUAGUUCUAUGCUAGUUUAUUUUUAAUUUACAUGAAAGUUUAAAUAAAGUUUAUAUUUUUAAUUCCGAUUAGUUAAAAUUCUAGUUUAUUUUUAAUUUGAAUGAGUUAUUGAUCUUAAAUCUAUUAGUUUAAUUGGACUUGUAAGGUAAAGUUUAUAUUUUUAAUUCCAAUUAGUUAAAAUUCUAGUUUAUUUUUUAAUUUGAAUGAGUUAUUGAUCUUAAAUCGAUUAGUUUAAUUGGACUUGUAAGGUAAAGUUUAUAUUUUUAAUUCCGAUUAGUUCAAAUUCUAGUUUAUUUUUAAUUUGAAUGAGUUAUUGAUCUUAAAUCUAUUAGUUUAAUUGGACUUGUAAGGUAAAGUUUAUAUUUUUAAUUCCUAUUAGUUUAAAUUCUAGUUUAUUUUUAAUUUGAAUAAGUUAUUGAUCUUAAAUCUAUUAGUUUAAUUGGACUUGUAAGGUAAAGUUUAUAUUUUUAAUUCCGAUUAGUUUAAAUUCUAGUUUAAUUUUUAAUUUGAAUGAGUUAUUGAUCUUAAAUCUAUUAGUUUAAUUGGACUUGUAAGGUAAAGUUUAUAUUUUUAAUUCCGAUUAGUUUAAAUUCUAGUUUAUUUUUAAUUUGAAUGUGUUAUCGAUCUUAAUUCUUUAGUUUAAUCGAUCUUGUGAGGUAAAGUUUACAUUUUUAAUUCCAAUUAGUCUAAUUCUAGUUAUUCAUGUGUUUCUUGAAAUUUAAAUGUUAGUUUUUGGAUGAUAAUUUUGUUAGUUUGUUUGAUUAGAAAGUCAUAAAUUUGUUGCCUUAGUGAUUGUUGGUCAAAUAUUUUUUUGAGGGCCGCUGGAAACCCAUGAAGGUUGGCCUUUACUCUCACCACUUUAACUGACAAGAUUUUCUAAAAUUUUUAUUUCGUGAUCUUUGUUUCCUUUUGUUUUGAUUGAUAUUUUGUUUUCUAUUUUUGUUAUUUUAAAAAUUAAUUUUUUUUAUUUUAAAACAAAACUCUUUUUCUCAAAAAAAUCGUUUUUAAAUUUUUUUUAUUAUUAUUCAUUUAAAGCCUUUAGAAUCAAAAUCUAUUUUCUUUUUAAAAAAUAAUAUGCAAACAUAUCUUAAUCGGUUUGCAUCCUUCUCAAUUUUCAACAAAAAUUUUGGUUUUAAACAAAACGCGAAUCAAAGCUUGUGGUCCCAAAUAAAUGGGACAAUUUUAAGCUAAAUUCGUAUAUAUUAAUUUGGGGAAUUGGUGAAACCCCUACAUAAGAAAUUUUUUUCAAAAUUUACUUUUGCUACCACCCUGCUAUUUAUCGUAAUCAUAUUUACAUUUUUCUUUUUAGGAAUUGUAUACAAGAUAUGUAUGAUAAUUAAUUAUUCCGAAUUCUGAUAAUUUUUGCUAAUUAAUUAGAUAAGCAUGCUAGGAUUUAUUAUUUAUUAUUUAUUAUCUAACCCCCAUGUCCUGAGGAAGCAUAUUAGGAGUUAUAUAUGCUAUCUAGGUACGUUCCCAAAAUUUCAUGAAUAUGCAUGUCAUUGCCCUUGUUUGAUGCCAUACUUGAUUGCCUCGAUGCUUGUUUGAUCAUCCUUGAUAAAAUGCAUGUCGUGUGUCAUAUUUCUGAAUUAACCAUUGAUGUUUUAUGAUAGUGCUUAAGAAGUGGUUCAGGUACGCACCCUAACUCUCCUUUAUUGUGAUUGAUCUCCUUAUUUAGCAUGCUACUUUCUGAAAAUCACCUAGCUUACUUAGGUAUCUACAAUUAAUCAAUUAAUUGCCCCAUUUCCCCAAUUUAGUCAGUAAAGACCUCUUUAGGGCUUAGAAGGGUGCUACCUCUUAGAGGUACCUUCCCAAUAAGUAACCUGAUCCCCGGACCUAGACUCAGGUUUUUCAAAGAUAUGUUUUUUCCAAAAAUUAUGGAGUCACAUUUUAGGGUUUUUCUUUCUUGUUUUAUUUUCCCUUUAAAAUAAAAAUAAAAUAAGUGGCGGCUCCAACUUUUCCAAAACUAAAUAAUUUUUCACAAAUAAAAAGAGAAUCUCGCCGAUCGAGUGGGGACGCACGUGAAAAAUGCGGGUCCACAAUAACCUAUCCAGACUUUAAGUUGAUCUGUUCCAUGGACCAAACACCAACACAUGUCCUUUGUCCAAACCCUUACUAAAGUUUGGCAGUCCAGUUAUGAAUUGCAAAGAGAGGAUGUGAGUCGACAGACUAAAGCAUUCAUUGCGGCUCAUCUUUAUUGUGCAGACGACCAACACCUCCAAUAAGGACAAGUCCAGCUGAUAUAAGGUGUCUAGCACACUACAUCCCAUCAAAAUUUGGAUGACGUUAGGAUUGAUGAAGAUAAGAGGGAUUCAAGAUAAAUGCAAGAAUUGUUUCACCAAUGAGGGAAUGGGCAGGCGGAGUCUCGUUGCAAACUAUUCUUUGGUGAAAUAGAUCAUAUUGUUAGGAAGCCUGUCUAUAGACAAAGCCUCUUCAUAUGAUAAUAGGAUAGAAAUAGAAUCCGGAAUGUAGCAGCAAGAACAGAAUUCCUGCUCGGACAACUCGCCAAUUAGAUGCCUCGAUAGAGAACGACCAGACCAUGAUGACUUAGCCCUGCCGCAUUGAGUUCUAUCGCUUGUAGAUGCGACCACACUUCUGUCCAUAUUUGCAAAUGGAAAAAAGGUUGAAUAAACACCUACAUGAUAGAAGUGUUAACUAGUUAACACAGGGACCCCUAUAAUGACACUUAACCAAAAGCUACACUCAUCACACAAAUCCUACCCUAAACGGCUUGACACAAAACUUGUUGGGCAAGUCAUGUUUAUACAGUGUCCAUGGUCUCAAGCCAUGACCUCACUUAAGCCCAGAAACGCUAUAUAACUCUCAAAAUGACAGUAAAAGGCAAACAUAAACUCCAAAUCCAUAAUCGGAUUGAUAUAAGAACAGAUUUCAGCAAAAACAUAUGGAACGCGCAAACAAAAACCAUGGAGAAAGUGCAUUCAUCAAUGAAGAAAAAAACCAUAAAAAUAGAUAUUGAAGAGGAACUCAAUACCUAGUAAACUGCGUUGUGGUUGAAUCAAAAUCAAAAGACCUGAAGCAUCUUCAAUGGAGAGAAGAAAAUUACCGAAAAGUAACAGUAGAAAUGAAAUGAACCAUCUACCUAAAAACAACCAACCUAUAUAAGGGUAUGACUGCAAAAAAUCACGGCGUCCGAAGGGGUGCGCCGCCUGACACCACACCUUGAUUGAUGUAACCCAUUAACGAAUGAGCAUGUCCCAUGUGGAUUUUAGGCAUCAUUCUUUCAAAAUCUCCAAAAGUCACAACUCUUGCAUUUGACCGUCUGACGUCUACUCAGGCCUAACUACAAGACUUGGGGGGCAUUGUGGGGGUCCCUCUCUACAAGGUCAUCCUUAAGUCCACCACUCUCUUAUAGUCGUUUAGCUAGAGGGUGCCAUAUGAGAAACUGCUCUCUGCUAGAUGGCCUUACGACCCUACGACCGGGUGACUGAUCCGUCUCAAAGUAGGUCAGAUGAUUACAUCCUACACGGGUACAGCAUGACUAAAGCAUGAUCGUCUAUCAUGCAUUUACACACCCAUUAAUGUGCAAAUUGUGUGCCUGACAUGCUCCAUAUUAACUACGGUUGUCAUGGGAAACAUUACAUUCUCAAUGGCUCAUCAUGGUGAGACAACCGUUAUGCAUUGGCAAUCAAUGCCAUCAGAUUGCACAAUCAAGCGCAAUUAAGGUGCUAUUAAGAUACCUAGUAAGACGUUACACCGCACAAGGUAUAAAUAAUCAUGCAGACACUACUAAGAAAGGGGGAACUUUCUUUCUAAAAAAGAAUUUAACUUGCUUAAGUCAUUUAUUGACUUUAGCAUCGAAGGGGCGUGCCUGGACAAACCAUCCAGACAACCUUUGUGUAGGGAUUAUAGUCGUCUACAUCUUGAAAAGCUUAAACAAAAUUGUUGGUCAUCUCUUUCAUCCAACUCGUGGCAAUUAGAUGAGACCACUCGUUCGGAUCAUGUUACAACAAACACCUCAUUGACCAUACUAGUAUUGCAGCAUGCCAAAUUCAAUGAACUUUCACAAGCACCAUUUGGGGACUAGGAUUAAAAUGAGAGACCAAAAAAAGAGCCUCUCAUAAAUGGCAUCAAGUCAUUAUCUAAAAUGAUCAUAUGGCUCAUAAAUGUGAGAUUGCCCUACAACUUUCAAAAGAUCACAUCCACCAUAUAUAAUAGACUUACAUGUAAUUUAUAGAAAGCAUUCAGAUCUAACUUGCACAAUUUCAACGGAUGAUGGAAGUGAUGGUGUCAUAAAUUAAUCUAGAAUACCUGUAUAUUGUGAACAAUUCAUGGAGGUAGCCAACCAGCUCAACUUGGAAUAUGCUCUAUUUCAGACAUGGUUUGAAAUGUCAUAAAAUUUUGGUGAAAUAUUGUUAAUAUUUCACUUAUUGAGUAGAGUCAACAUGAUAUUCCACACCGAAAUUCAAUCAGCAAAUUUUAUGAUGAGUGAUUAUUCAAAAACAUCACCAAAAUAUUGGCUUUUUUGUCAAUUUUUCAGGAAGUCAAUGUGGUCAACGCAUAGGUCAACUCCUUCAAAUUAUUUGUCACGGGAGCCAUAAGGAUUCGAACCCAAGCCUUUUCAACUCCUUCAAGUUUUUUGAGGGAUUUGAACCUAAACCUAAAGGCUUAGGUUGAAGCUUGGCUACCACUAGGCUAAAUCAUUAUGAAAAAUGUAGAUAUGUUAAAUUUCAUUAUUAAUAGAAUAAAUGAAUUAAUUCUAAUUAUUUUAUUUUAAAUUUUAUUUAAUUGAUUAAUAAAAAUAUAAAAACCAUCAUUAUAAUUUUCUUAACAAGUAUUUUUUUUUUUUAUAUCCCUGCUUAUCAUGUUUUUCUCCUUGAUCAUACUUAUAUCAAUUACACUUACAAAAUAACUUUAAUAUGUGUAUUUUUGCUUAUUUUAUUAUUUUUCUUUUUAAUUUUCCAAACAUUUUCAUGAAUUUUGAAUAAUUUUCAUCUCAUCGAUAUUUUUAUCAAAAUAUUCACCAAUAUUUCUGAUAUACCUAUAAAAUCCAAGUAUCGCAUUCACCAAUAUUUCAAACCAAGAUUCUAGAUAAUGUCUAACUCAAGAAUAAAACAAAUAUGAUGGAAAUCUGACCAUAAGACCGAUUCAUGUCGGGACAUUAUUGAAUUAAGACCUCGUAGAUGAGUUCAGAGUGAGGCCAUAUAUUGCAAGGAUAUUUUAGAAGGAAAAUCCAGCUUUGUGUCAUGCUACUCUUGGAAGAGUGAGUGGUGGACUCUAGUAGAGAAUUGGAAGUUUCUGCCCUUACUAAUGGACUGACUUCUACACAACUAGAUUAAUUAAUUCAUAAACAGUGGUUGUGUUGGCUGAGAAAUGUCAUGGUUGUCAGUUAGCAUUUUGAAAGUUACCCCUAAGCUAUGGAUCAACAACACUUCACACAGUCGCCCAAAUCUUAAAAAGGUAAAUUUAAUGAGAGUAAACUGAAGAAUUUGAGGAGAAUAUUAAUCACUAGAACAUAAAUACAUAGCACAAGAAGCGACACCAUUUGAAGGACAAAAACCGAAUCUCAUGUGAAAUAAUUGUUCAUCUUUCCACAAACAACUUCAGUAAGAAAACCACCAAACUAUGGAUGUUUGUCCACAUUCUCAGUCAAUUUUCCCCAAGACACAUUUUGAAGCCACGUGACAUCUAAAGAUAUAUAUGGAUUUGGUUAAUCCUACUAGUUUUUUUUAUGAAGUGGUCUAUGUGUCAUUUACGUUUUUAAAUAUCAAUUAUGGUUUAUUAAAUAAUUAAUAUUAACUAAAAUCCUAUUAGUCAGUAAUUUUGAGAAAAAAUUUGACAACUAACUACUCAUUUUGAUGAAGAGUCAAAUAAUGAGUAUAUUUAGAAGAAAAAAACUAGUACUCCUACCUAGAAACAAAUAUUACUCUUUCUUUUUCCAUCUACAAAUCAUUGGUCAAAUUUAAGGGGUCAAGAGAGAGAAACACAAUUUUCUUCUACACUUUGAUUUUUCUUCGAUGAAUCACUCACGGAUCAAGAUACACAUUCCCUUGAUUUUGUGCUAUGAAAAUUAUAUUAUUCUUCAAUCUUUGAGUAUUAUGAUUUAAAUAAAAGUUAUGGUUUUGUUUUGCAUUAUGAGAAUUGAAAAAUUCCUAACAUUUUGCAUCAGAGCCUAUGAUUUAAGAACUUAUAAUAUGUUAGGGUGAAUUCACAAGAUUCCAAUAAACACCAGGAUUUUUCUACCAUUUCUUUGUGUAAAAUUAAAUAGGUAAUAGCAACUAGUAGUAAUAAAUAAAUAAACUCAUGCAAUGGAAAAAUAAAUCAGACACCAGAAUUUUUACGUGGAAAACCCCCCAAUGCAAAGGAAAAAACCACGGGACCUAGUCCAAUUCAAACUUCCACUAUCAACAAUAAUGGGUUACACCUUUCUUCUCUAGAAUAAUCUUUAGAUGCUACCAAAUACAUCAAGAGCACAUAUAGCCUUGGAUUAUAUAAUCUCUCUUGGCAAAAAAAACAAGGAAAAUUGAAGAAAGAAUACCCCAAAACACGUUGUUAUUGUUCAUGGCCAGUAACACUAGUUGCUGAGCUCAAAAUAUGAUCUCUACCGUUCAAAUUGUAGCUACUCAAGUUUUGAAUCUCUCCUCCAAAUUUCAACUCGAUCAGACCACAGAUGAAGUGGGAUCGGCUCUUUGGUGAAAUCUAGGCAGUGAGAUGUGUUUUUCCUUUCUCUUUUCUCUUCUCUCUGUUUUUCCUUUUUCCAAUCUCUUUUUGUUUUUGUUUUUUUUUUAUUAUUGUAAUUGACUUGAGUCCCAAGCAUAUGGGGCCCAUUCUCUCACAUACUAGGGAGCCCAACAAAUCUUCCCUUCUAGACUAUGUGAGGGGUUCUACCAAGCCCGCUUGCUUUCUAUAGAAUUAUAGCUUUUCUGUAGGUAUUGGUUUUGUCAUCAUAUCUAAUCCAUUCUCAUCAGUAUGGAUUUUCUCAAGGCAAAACAAUUUCAUCUCUAAUGCAUCACAAAUCCAAUGAUAUCUCACAUCAAUCUGCUUGGAUCUAGAGUGAAAAGUUGGAUUCUUCCUGAGAUGAGUAGCACUUUGACUAUCACAGUAGAGUAGAUGCCUUUCUUGUUGUAAACUCAAUUCUUAUAGGAAAUUCUUCACUAGCUUCAAUGAUAGCAAUCUACUCAGCCUCUAUAGUCGACAAAGCAACACAUUUCUACAACCUUGAUUGUCAUGACACUAUUCCCCCUGAAAAAGUGAUCAAAUAACCAGAAGUAGACUUUUUGGAAUCAACAUCCAUAACCAUAUCUGCAUUUAUGCAUCCUACAAGCAUAGGUUUGUCAGUCCCAAAACAUAAACAUGUCUUAGAAAUACCCCUCAGAUACCUAAAAAUCCAUUUCACUGCGGCCCAGUGUUCUUUGCCAGAAUUAGAAAGGAACCUGCUAACAACUCCAAUAGCAUGAGCAAUAUCAGGCCUCGUGCAUACCAUGGCAUACAUCAAACUACUCAUGGCUGAUGCAUAAGGCACCUUUCGCAUUUCUUCUAUUUUUUUCUCACUUGAAGGAAUUUGUUUGGAACUUAGCUUUAGAUGACUUCGAAGUGGAGAACUCACUGGUUUUGCCUUGCCCAUGUUGAACUUAUCUAAAACCUUCUCAAUAUAGCUUUCUUGAGAUAGCCACAAUUUUUCAUUCGUCCUAUCUCGAGAAAUCUUUAUACCAAGAAUUUGACUUGCUCAACUCUUUUUUCAGUUUAUCGAUUUUACCAGUAUCACGACCAACAAUCAGCAUGUCAUCCAUAUAUAGCAAGAGAAUAAUAAAUUUUCCGUCAGAGAAUUUCUUCACAAACACACAAUGGUCAGAAGCAAUUCUAUCAUAUCAAUACUCAACCAUGAAAGAAUCAAACUUCUUGUACCACUGUCUCAGUGCCUGCUUGAUACUAUACAAGCUCUUCUUCAGUCGAGAUAGUAAGUGUUCCUUGCCUUUGAUUAUAAACCCUUCUGGUUGCUCCAUAUAUAUUUCCUCCUCUAAGUCACCAUGGAGGAAAGCAGUCUUCACAUCAAGCUGUUCAAUCUCUAAAUUCAUACUGGCAAUCAAACCUAACACAACUCAGAUCGAAGAUAUCUUAACCACGGGUGAGAAAAUCUCUUCAAAGCCAAUGUCUUUCUUAUAACCAAAACCUUUCACAACAAAUCUUGCCUUGUACCUUGGCUAUGAUCUGUUUGGUUCAGGAUUCCUUUUCAGUACCCAUUUAUUCUUCAAUGCUCUCUUACCCUUAGGCAACUCCAUCAAUUCAUAAGUGUUGUUCUUAUGCAAGGAUUUCAUCUCUUCAUGCAUAACUCUCAACCACUCUUUUUUCUCAUCAUGCAGUAGAACCUCUUGAUAAUUUUUUGGAUCUCUCCCAUCAAAAAACAAAAAAUACUCAUCACUAGUAUACCUUUUGGAAGGUUGACGCUUUCUAGUAGAUCCUCUUAAUUAUGUUUCAGUAGGCAACUCUGAAGUAGCUUAUCCUUACUGCUAUUCUAGGUCAUCAUUCUCAUUUAUAGGAUUUUCUUCUACAUCAUCAACAACAGACUCAUCAUUUCUGUCAACUAUAUCAACCUAUUCUUCUUGCACAACUUCUUUAUGUUUAUUAUGUCCCAUAGAGUUAGGAAAGACUUGACCCAAAUCAACCUAUUCUUCACUGAAAGGCUUUGGCUUCUUAAUCUGAUCCAAGUCUUCAAUGGUUUGAUCUUCAAAGAAGACAACAUCUCUACUUCUUAUAAUCUUUUUGGCAGUUAGAUCCCAUAACUUGUACCCAAACUCUUCAUUUGAAUAACCCAAGAAGAUACACUGUUUAGUCUUGCUGUCAAGCUUGGACCGCUCGUCUCUAGGAACAUGAACAAAUGUCUUGCAACCAAAAACUCUCAAGUACUCAAAGGAAACAAAUUUUCCUGUCCAAACUCUCUUUGGAAUAUCACCCUUUAAAGGAUAUGAUGGAGACAAAUUAAUCAAAUCAACGGUUGUCCUCAUGGCCUCACCCCAAAAAGACUUAGGCAAUUUUUCAUGAGAAAGCAUACACCUGAUUCUAUCAUAGAUGGUUCUAUUCAUUCUCUCAACUACACUAUUUUGCUGCAGGGUCUUAGGAACAAUCUUCUCAAGCCUAAUUUCAUGACUUCUAUAGUAUUGCUCAAAUGGCCCCUUAUAUUCACCAUCAUUGUCUACUCUGACAGAUUUUAACUGCUUUCCAAUUUGCCUCUCAACUUUCACAUGAAAAUCUUUGAAUACAUCAAGUACCUGGUCUUUGGAUUUCAAAGCAUAUGCCCACACCUUUCUUGAAUGAUCAUCAAUAAAAGUCACAUAAUAAAGUGUGCCACCAAGAGUAUUACUUUGCAUAGUAUAAACAUCAGUGUGAACUAAAUCAAGAAUAUAUGGUUUUCUACGUGAAGGAAAUCUACAAAAUGCAACUCAACUUUGCUUUCCAGACAGACAAUGUGUACAAGGUAAUAGUGACGUACUUUUAACUGGUAGAAGCUUCUUUUUAGCAAGAACCUGAAGUCCCUUUUCACUCAUGUGACCAAGUCGCUUAUGCCAUAACUCAGUAGAGGCUUCAUUCUCAACAAUGUUGACCUCUCCCUUGACUAGUCUUGCUUCUGUGUUGUAGAGGGUAUUAUUUAUCUUCCCCCUAGCAAAAACAAGAGAACCCUUAGUAAGCUUCCACUUGCCCUCUCCAAGGUGACUAUGGUAGCGCUCAUCAUCAAGCUUCCCAACAAAGAUCAAACUAAAGCGCAUUUUAGGAACAUAUCUAACAUUUUUCAGAACCAAUUUGCACCCAAUGCUAGUUUCUAGCUCUAUAUCUCCCAUGCCAACAAUUUCACAUUUUGCUUCAUUACACAUCUUAACCCAACCAAAUCUGCCACUGUUGUAGGAAGAGAAGAAAUCUCUACAUGUAGUGAUAUGAAAUGACGCAGUUGUAUCAACCACUUAAGUGGAAUCCUGGCAUGCAAGGUUUACACACGCAUCAUCACUAACAAUGAUCAUAUCACCAUUAGAUGCAACUACUGCAAUGUCUUUGUCCUCUUUCUAUUCUUCACAUUUUCCUUUAAACUGUUCUCUUCUGAAUUUUCUACACUCUCUCUUAAUGUGCCAUGGCUUGUCACAAUAAAAACAUUUUAUCUCUUUUCAAGACUUUGACUUUCUUCUUGACUUGUCACGAUUAUAAUCACUGGAAGGUUUUUUUAUUUUACUUCUCCCCCACCUCUUUGUAACAAGUGCUUUUGUAUUAGAGGAAAUACCUAACUCUUUUCUUCUUGCCUCUUCAUUAAACAUGCUGUCUUUUACCAUGUUGACAAUUAUCACACCAUUUGGAGUUGAAUUACUCAAGGAUACCACCAAAGUUUCCCAACUGUCUGGUAAGGAACUCAACAAAAGUAAAGUCUGUACCUCAUCAUCUAGCUCAAGCUUCAUGGUAGACAACUCAUUCAACAAUCCUUGAAAAUUACUGAGAUGCUCUGCAACACUAUUGCCAUCCUUGUACUUUUAAUUCACAAGUCUUCUUAUCAUAAAGGCUUUGUUAUGUGCAGUCUUUCUCUCAUAAAGACUUUCUAAUUUUUGCCAAAGGCUAUAUACAUCAACUUCCUUGGCUACAUGAUGGAAGACAUUGUGAUCAACCCACUACCUAAUCUGUCCAAUGGUUUUCCUAUUUAAUUUCUUCCACUCAUCCUCAGUUGUAGUAACUGACUUAUAACCCCUGCAUUCAAUGGGCUCAAACAACUCUUUGCAAUAUAGAAUAUCCUCCAUCCUAGUCUUCUAAAUUGAAUAAUUGAAAGUUGUGAGUUUAAUCAUUCCACUACCAGCCUCCUCCAUUUAAUUCACACAAGAGAUCCCACUGCUAAUCAACUUGGCUCUAAUACCACUUGUUAGGGUGAAUUCACAAUAUUCUAAUAAAUACCAGGAUUUUUCUACCAUUUCUUUGUGUAAAAUUAAAUAGGUAAUAGCAACUAGCAGUAAUCAAUAAAUAAACUCAUGCAACGGAAAAAUAAAUUAGAUACCAAAAUUUUUACGUGGAAAACCCCCCAAUGCGAAGGGAAAAACCACGGGACCUAGUCCAGUUCAAACUUCCACUAUCAACAAUAAUGGGUUACACCUGUCUUCUCUAAAAUAAUCUCUAGAGGCUACCAAAUACAUCAAGAGCAUAUAUAGCCUUGGAUUAUAUAAUCUCUCUUGGAAAAAUAAAAAUAAAAAAAAUUGGAGAAAGAAUACCUAAAAACACAUUGUUACUGUUCACGGGCAGUAACACUAGUUCCCGAGCUCAAAAUCUGAUCUUCACCGUUCAGAUUGUAGCUACUUGAGUUUUGAACCUCUCCUCCAAAUUUCAACUCGAUCGGACCACAGAUGAAGCAGGAUCGACUCUUUGAUGAAAUCUAGGCAGUGAGAUGUGUUUUUCCUUUCUCUCUUCUCUUCUCUCUGUUUUUCUUUUUUCUAAUCUCUUUUUGUUUUUUUUAAAAUUUUUUAUUAUUAUUGUAACGGACUUAGGCCCCAAGCAUAUGGGGCCCACUCACUCACAUACAAGGGAGCCCAACAUAAUAUUCCUUUAAAGAUUUAAAAUCCAGAUAAUUUUUUAUUUUUGUAAAAAAACAACCAAUAUGUUACUUUUUCUACUGUUUGGUUUUUUUUUAAUUCAAUAAAAAAUUUGUAAUAAGUAGUAAAAAAAAAUAGAAAAACAAACAACUUAAAGUCUGAAUACAAAUUACUUUCAGUAAAAAGUAAAAAAAAAAAACAAACACCCUCAUAAACUAAUCACGAGAUUGUUAAUUUGUACUAAGAUCUCAUUUCUUUGUAAUAGAGAUAUAGUACCUUUUUAGACAUUCAUUCAAUUAUCUACAUAUAGCCAUACUUCAAUGAUCCGGAUUUUGAAUUUAUCAUGGUACCAAUUUUGUAUCUUAGAAUUUCUGUUACCAUUAAUCUAGUACUUUUCAAAAACCCUUUAGUUAUAGCAUAUUGUAGGCAUAUCAUACCAUAAUAUUAUAGCAUAAAAGACUUUAAAUUCUAUUUUCAUAAUCGGUUUUAUUAUAUCAUUUUCUCAGGUAAAACUGACAAUGAAAGUCACUUGAGAUUUUAUUAUAAUAUCAUAUAGACCGCAGAUCAAACCAAACGCACAAGGCCAACACGAGCCCAUAGUACGGGCCAGCUCAUACAGAAGUGUCAUUUUCCAGGCACACCCACAAAGUUGAAAAGGAGAGAUGGUUUCACCCAUCACUACUACUCAGUACUCUACACAUAUAUGUUUGAAAGCUCUCACACUCGCUAAUUAACAAUGCUUAGUGCAGAAGCAUCGACGACGAAAGCCACGGCAAUUUCCUCCAUGGAAACCCUCGGUCUGGCAAACAGCAGCACAGUUGCUCUGCCUGACACACGUUCCCUUGAACCG
RNAcentral lists this long non-coding RNA (17421 nucleotides) under Vitis vinifera (wine grape). RNAcentral describes it as "long non-coding RNA (VVIN_LNC000257)". The record is from RNAcentral. Lineage: Eukaryota; Viridiplantae; Streptophyta; Magnoliopsida; Vitales; Vitaceae.